Camellia sinensis is the source of this 2152-nucleotide non-coding RNA. NCBI's taxonomy places the organism in Eukaryota, Viridiplantae, Streptophyta, Magnoliopsida, Ericales, Theaceae. The record is from RefSeq and is a predicted model, not a curated record.
UCAACAAAAUGUUUUUCCCACCCCCCAUUGCGUAUAUGAUGCCAAAGUACAAUAAUUUCUUUUCAAGGAUCAUUCAAGUUUCCUCACCAUUUCAUUAUUUCAAAACUGUUAAGACUAUUGAAAAUCAAGUCCCAUUUAUCCAUUUUUUUUAGCUCAUUCAUCUCCUUAAAGAUCCAGCCACCAAAAAAAUAAUUGUGGAGAUGGGCAACAACUAGAGUCAUGGAUUUUCUUCUUUUUCGCACAAUUCGGUAGAAACUUACGGAUACAUGUUUUUAGGUUUUAAAUAGUUUUUUGUGGGGUUUGUUUAGGUUUUAAACAUGAUCAAAUAUAUGUUCUAAACUUUACACAAGUUUUAGGUCAUUGUAGAGAUUACUCCCUUCUGUUGAAUAUAUUUAAUUUUCUUAAGUUAAUUGAUGAUGUACCACCUAUGGAACCUUCUACUCUAUUAUGAAAAAAACAAUUCAUGAAGCACAUUUCAUAUUAAUAGUCAUUGAGUCAUAAACAAAAUUCAGAACGCAGCGUGCUAACAUACUAAUGUACUAGUACAUAACAUGAUAUCCAACUUCAUUCAGCAAAUCUAACCUAAAACUAAAGGACAACACUAAGCUCAUCUAACUUUGAUCUCAAAUCUGGUAUAACUUGAGGAUUGGACAUUCAAAACAUAUAGAUGUAGGAUUUUUUUCAUCAAUCCCACCUGGAAUGUGAUUUUAGAAUCUGAAAAAAAGAGGAAUGGGAAAAACUAGCCUUUUUUUUUUUAUCAGCAAAAUGAAAUUUUAUUAAUGAAUAAAGAGUAAACAAACAAAGAGGGAAAGUGCAAAAAGCAUCAAUGCUAACCUUAAUAAUCCCAAUUAAGUUGGCACCACUAAGGAAGCUCAAUCAUUUGCGAGCACAAACCCAAAGAUUGGCAAGAAGCCAACCAAGAAGAACAAAAAAAACAGAAAAUGGCCAACAGCAGAGGCCUUAAACACCAAUAGCCAACACAGCAGCAACACACUAAAGGCCAACACACUAGACCAGCCACACCGCCAGAGAACCCCAGCAGCACAACAGAACAGAUCCUCGACACAGCAGCAACACACUAAAGGUCAACACACUAGACCAGCCACACCGCAAGAACAGCUCCCAUAUGGGAAAAACUAGCCUUAAACAGAACAUGUAAAGAGACAUGAUGGUCACAACAGUGUUACAAAGGCACUGUAACAGGCUGUUACAUAAUUGCAGUGGCCGUUACAAGUGUGAUUUUUGUCACACCACUACAGCAGGCUGUAACAGAGUGCAGAGGUUAGCAGUGUUGAUGAUGCUAAUCUGGUUUCGACAGCAGGGGGAAGUUUAUGCUGCUCAUCUGCUAGAGUGCAAUGGACAGUGGUAUUGAGGAUGUUUAUCUAUUAGAGUGCUCAUUUGGUAUGGUGUUGUUAUUUGGUUGCAGCUUCUGCUGUUGUUAUUUGGUUGCAGCUUUUGUUCAUCUGUGCACUGCUGGGCAGUCUUGAGUGUGGUUUUGUUGUUGAACAGGCUACUAUAAUGUUUGUGUCUUUGGAGAAAAUUGCAGCCCAAGCCCCAAAAUAUGCUGUUUUCUUGCUUCUAGACUAAUCAAAGAAUUAAUCAAGGAGGAUUGAUCAUCGUGGACUAAUCAAAGAAAUUGGAUUCUGCUUUUUGGUCUGUUUGGCUGUUGGCUGGGGUUGUUCUUCUGGGGGGGCUUUCUUUGUGCUCCCUGAUACGUUGAUCUAUUAUUAAUCAGGUGGAACUCUAUUUAAGGCCUGAUUGCUGUUGGGUGGGUUUCAUGGUAAGGGUAAAUGGUGUAACGGGGUGGUCCCUGGUGUGUUUGGAGAUAAUUGGUUGCUUGUUGAUUGGAAGUGCUGUUGGGUGGAGUUCAUGGUAAGGGUAAAUGGUGUAAUGGUGUGGUCCCUGGUGUGUACAUGCUGAAGUGGUAUGCUGUUGCUUUGGUUAGGUCCGUUUUUCUCGUUGGCUUCUCACCAACACUGGGGGUUGCUAGCAAAUGAUAGGAUGGGCUUUUUGGUGCCAACUUAGUUGGCAUGAUUUUGCUUAUUGUGAUGCUUUGCACUCCCCUUUUCUUUAUUGAUGUAAUUUGCUCUGUACUUUGUACUUGUUUUUUACAUCAAUAAAGUUUCUUUUUUUGCUAAUCCAAAAAAAAAAA